CGCGGGAAGCGAGCGCGCGUGCGCGGCGGGGAUUGGUAACCCUGAAUGUCUCAGAAUGGAUAUCAGCUAGAAGACUCUGACCUGGACAGAUGCAGAUCUAGACAUACAGUUCCUGCAGUCAUGCUAGUAGAGAGAUCAUGUCAGCAGCAAAGAGUGCAAUUGGACGUCAGCAGCAAAGCAUUCAUUCCUGAAGGAAAUUAUUGAACCCACACACAGAGAAUUCUGACAGCAUUGUUUAGCGAUGCGGUCUUCUUAUGUUGUCCAGGCUGAUCUGAA
This 276-nucleotide long non-coding RNA is filed under the name Homo sapiens (human). RNAcentral's name for it is "HSALNT0292627". Lineage: Eukaryota; Metazoa; Chordata; Mammalia; Primates; Hominidae. The record is from RNAcentral.